This is a long non-coding RNA of Cygnus olor (mute swan), 1511 nucleotides long. RefSeq lists it as uncharacterized. The transcript is spliced from 3 exons. NCBI's taxonomy places the organism in Eukaryota, Metazoa, Chordata, Aves, Anseriformes, Anatidae. The record is from RefSeq and is a predicted model, not a curated record.
UUCACCAGAUCAUUAAAGACAUGACUCUCUACAUAUUCCUUUUCCAGCAAAGUAUAGCAGUAAUACCUAAUAAACAAAUUACUGUUAGGCAAGUUCCAACAUGGACAAGCAGCGUGUUAAUGAAAUAACUUGCAUGGCUGAAAAAAAAAAAUUCUUGGAGGACUCUCUUAAAGGGCUAUUAAGUUUCUCCUGGGGUUUUCUCCACAACGGGAGCCUAGCAGUUACAAACAAGCAACCCUUCAUCUAAGCCAGGGCAGAGCUUUUUGUUGUGGUGAUGCUUUGUUCUGCUUUGUCAGUCCGACCGACAUAACCGAGCUCUGGACUUCGCUCCACCCUUGCCAGAAGUCCCAGAGAACAUACCUGCAGCCACUACAGCUCCUCCAGUUUGGCUUCAAUUUGGAGAUGUGCACAGCUGAGUGAGAGAUUUUUGUAAUCACAGAAGGGCAGGGAGGAAGAGAAUGUUACUAUAAGCCAGGCUUGUCUUGGCCAUAGCAAUAAAUUGCUCGUGGCCAAUUUCAGCUAAUGCUGGCCUUUCUGCAUGAAAUUAUCGCAUUUCUUUGAAUCUCCAGACUAAAACCGAAGUGUCCCUCUCUGAGCUGGCUGCCAAAGGGCCUUUAGGACAACAGCUUUGACCAAGCUGUUGCCAGAGGCAUGUACCCCCUUGGAGUCCUCUGUGAGUUUAUGAAUACACCCGGUGCCAGGGCUGCUCAGCAGUGACUCAGCAGCAGGAAAUCUGAUGUAGAUCCUCCUCAUCGCACGCCCAGGGUGCAGCUGCUCUCCGCUUCCUAGCAGUAACAGGGGCACCGCAAAUGGCUUCUGUUAAAGAUAACAUUCCCUUCCUACUGCAACCCCUGUGCCCACAGUCUACUGCUGUGAAUGUGAAUGAACCUUUGUACAGGUUCUCUUCGCUCCUUCCCCUCCUCUCAACAAACGUAAUGCGAGAUUUUGGAGAAGCAUAGACCCACUUACAAAACCUAAGAAAAGCACCUCAAGUGGGGGUGUGCAGAUGUUUAUUUGAGUGCUCCUUCUCUUUUAUUUCCCUUGAAAGAUGUUGUCAGGCCCCACCUCACCCGUGCUGGAAGUUGCAAGGAGCUGAGGAGGAUCGCUUUGGGGCUGGCUGGGGCUCGGUGCAGACUGCUAUGAGCCAUUGCUGCUCUAAACUUGGCUCUUCCUGCUCUCAAGCCACUUAUGUCACUCUGGUGGAAUAAAGGCUCUAUCUAAAGCUGACAGCAGAGAUGAUUUUUCAACAUGAUAGGAAGUCUGUGAUACCAUUUGACGGUAUUUAUGUUCUCUCCAGAUGACCUGUUUUCAGAAGAAUCUCUUCAAAUGACUUGCCAACAUUAACAGUCCCUAUACUGCAAAUUGCUUAUUAUUAAUAUUACUUAAUUUUAGAGCAUGUAUCACAAAAUAAUUAAAACGUAAUAUUUACAAAGAAGAUUGGUUAAUACUGCUUCUACUGCUAUGUCUGGAAGUACUACUUUUGAAUGUCAGAAAAUUUACAGCGAAAGCCU